GGAGUGCCUGCCUCCCAUGCAUCAAGGCCUACUUCCAAUGCAGCCCUCGUGGGCCCCUCCUUUAGACAGAGGCAGUCUUCCCCCACUUAGAACAACCACAGCACUUUGAUUUUGUGCUUUGGAAUUACUCAGACUCAAACAAUCAUUAGGGAAUUCUAUAUCUUGCCUCUCCGUCUAGAUUGAGGGUACCUGUUAAUUCAACUUUUCAUUCUCCCCUCCUAGAAUACUACAGGUACAGAAAUCAUUUGCUCAAUUAAAUGGUGGCAGCCCAGUUCCCAUGAGGAAGGUCUGGGUUCACUGCUGUGACCUUGGUCUCUGUAUUGAGAUUGGGAGCUCCUGGUGGGCAGCUCCUCACCUCAGAGACCUGCUUAUGACUAAGCCCAGGAUAAGGGCUUGUUGAGUGAUACUAUGGAAUUCAAGGCCUAGUGCCUUGAACAAACUCACUAUGUGUCUUAAGGAGAGCCCCUGCUCUCUUCUGGUGGCCACCAAUCUUGAAGUCUCAUUUACCUGUGCUGGGAUUCUGUCCUGAGAGCUGAUAGUGGAAGAGACUGGCACACUCUCACAUCAGGCUGGCAGGAGGCUGGUGUUGAGGGAAUUAGCUCAGGGAGCAAAGGCAUGGGUAGGGAAAGGUGACUAGGGGUAGGAAGGAGAUGAAUGGGGAUGGGGUCCAUAGACCACACUGUCUGCCGCAGCAUCCCCAGCUGGACUUGGUGGGGCCCAGGCAGGGAAUAGCUGGCAUCCAGACGUGCUAACAAGUAUUCCUGAGCAGUCUGUGUCAAUGCAGGUGGGGGAUAAUGACACAGAGGAAGACAGAGUAGAGAGAGCUGAUGGACCCC
Molecule: long non-coding RNA, 836 nt
Filed under: Homo sapiens (human)
Lineage: Eukaryota; Metazoa; Chordata; Mammalia; Primates; Hominidae
Description: non-protein coding lnc-FCHSD2-1:4
Source: RNAcentral